This 478-nucleotide ribosomal RNA is filed under the name uncultured bacterium. RNAcentral's name for it is "bacterial SSU rRNA". It matches the Rfam family "Bacterial small subunit ribosomal RNA", at positions 32 to 507 of the family's 1533-position model. The record is from RNAcentral.
ACAACGCUGGCGGCGUGCCUAACACAUGCAAGUCGAGCGAUGAAAUUAGAAACGGAGUCUUCGGACAAAGAGGAAAAUGGAUUAGCGGCGGACGGGUGAGUAACACGUGAGCAACCUGCCUAUCACAUCGGGAUAGCCUCGGGAAACUGGGAUUAAUACCGAAUGAAACAUAAUCACUGCCUAGUGGAAAUGUCAAAGAUUUAUCGGUGAUAGAUGGGCUCGCGUCUGAUUAGCUAGUUGGUGAGGUAAUGGCUCACCAAGGCGACGAUCAGUAGCCGGCCUGAGAGGGUGAACGGCCACAUUGGGACUGAGACACGGCCCAAACUCCUACGGGAGGCAGCAGUGGGGAAUAUUGCACAAUGGAGGGAACUCUGAUGCAGCGACGCCGCGUGAGCGAUGAAGGCUUUCGAGUCGUAAAGCUCUGUCGAGUGGGAAGAUAAUGACGGUACCAUUUGAGAAAGCCCCGGCUAACUACGUG